UUCACCCGAAACUGAUCUGCUUCCAUUUCCACUUUUCGUAAGCGCGCCCGGGCUUUUUCCAGCUGUUCAAUGGCCCCUUCACGGAGUUCUUCUGAAUUUCGAAUAGUAUUCAAAAUCCUCUGUUUUCGAUUAUCUAAUAAAUCACUUAAUGAAAGUAGAUUCUCUUUCCAUUCAUUUAAAAACUUCCAUGAUCCCUUCCCGAACCAAACAUGAAUCUUUCGAUUCAUUUGGCUCUCACGCUCAAUUACUUAUGGUAAAUUCCCAUAUCUUUUUUUGAAUGUAAUGAGCCUAUCCUCUAUUCUCUCUUCAUAUUCAAAAAUAAAAUAAAAAUAUCGUCGAAACUAAUCACUCAUCCAAAACCAAAAUAGCCGGAGGACUCUUCUGACCAAACAAAAAUAUGUAAUUGUCAGCAAAGUUGUUUCUUUUUUUUCAAAUCCAAAAAGUUUUUCUUUCUUUAUACACAAUACAUAGGUCGUCGAUUCAGCAUUGGAUAAAAAUGGGGAUUUCGUCCCCCUUUUUUUUCUAAUUUUAUAAUAGGUGGUUCAAAAAAUUUUAUCCAUAUGAGUGUUCUAUAUCGAUAAACUAUUCAUUUUUGAAAGCAUCUCUAUAUUACUAUUAAUAUAGUGGUAGAAAGAGUACCAUGCUGGGUCUGGACUUCAAGCGAUUUAGCUUUAACCAUGUUUAACGGUCCCACAUUAUUGGUUGAUAGAGAAUCAAAGUAGAUUUACCAACGAAUCACGAAAUGCUAUCGUUCUUACAUAUGAUUUAUUAAUUUAUUCAGAAGUCAUUCGUGAGAUCAUGCACCUUUCUUUCCUAGUUCUAACGGAAAAAGUACAGCUGGUUGGAUCCAGCCUAUUCUUGAAAUAAACAACUCGCACACACUCCCUUUCCAAAAAAGAUCAAUACCCCAAGCACUACACUUAGAUUUAUUAGAUUUGUUGCUAAAAUAUCGGUAUUAAACCCGAAACUCCCGGCGGACGGCCAGUGGCCCAAAGAAACGAAAGAAUCGGUUACAUUUUUCAUAUGAUCUCCUCUUAUAGAUAGACUAAAAAAAAAAAAAGAACAGAGUUCUUUUUGUAUAACCUUGCCCCUGUUCUUUUUUUAUAUAGAAAUUUUCCUAUUUUUAAAUCGAGUCAAAAAAGAUUCGAUUUAAAAAUGGCGAAUUACCCCUUUGUUGCAAUCCUUCCUAAAAGGGGAGUCCUUGGACUACGCUACGAACGGGAAGGAUGAAAGCGAGUCGGUAUGCUGAUUCCUCAUCCGCAAAUCAGCCCUUCCCGUGGGUUAUUUUCUCAACGAAUAAGAAAUUGUAGGAAUGAAAUCUUGAUAUAAUUCGAAAAAAGCAAAUGACAAGUCCAAGGCAAUAAAAUAUGAAAAAUAUUUAUUUUUCAUAUUUCUAAGAUUAAACAAAAGGAUUCGCAAAUAAAAGUGCUAAUGCUACAACCAGGCCAUAAAUUGUUAAAGCUUCCAUAAAAGCUAGACUAAGCAAUAAAGUACCUCGUAUUUUUCCCUCCGCCUCGGGCUGUCUCGCGAUACCUUCUACAGCUUGGCCCGCAGCAGUACCUUGACCAACUCCAGGUCCAAUAGAAGCAAGCCCUACAGCCAAUCCAGCAGCAAUAACGGAAGCGGCAGAAAUCAGUGGAUUCAUGAUAAGUUCCUCAUACCAAAAAAAAUAAAUGGUUAAUGAUACAAUCAGCCGAUGAAUUCUAACUUAAUUAUUCCAUCGCUA
Molecule: long non-coding RNA, 1726 nt
Filed under: Panax ginseng (ginseng)
Lineage: Eukaryota; Viridiplantae; Streptophyta; Magnoliopsida; Apiales; Araliaceae
Description: long non-coding RNA (PGIN_LNC001054)
Source: RNAcentral